RNAcentral lists this transfer RNA (85 nucleotides) under Felis catus (domestic cat). It matches the Rfam family "tRNA". From Rfam's summary of the family: Transfer RNA (tRNA) molecules are approximately 80 nucleotides in length. RNAcentral also lists the same sequence under 1 other name. The record is from Rfam by way of RNAcentral. Lineage: Eukaryota; Metazoa; Chordata; Mammalia; Carnivora; Felidae.
GCUUGGGUGGCUCAGUUGGUUGAGCAUCUGACUUCGGCUCAGUUCAUGAUCUCAUGGUUCAUGAGUUCGAGCCCCACAUUAAGCU